AUUGAACGCUGGCGGAAUGCUUUACACAUGCAAGUCGAACGGCAGCACGGGGCAACCUGGUGGCGAGUGGCGAACGGGUGAGUAAUAUAUCGGAACGUGCCCAAUCGUGGGGGGAUAACGUAGCGAAAGUUACGCUAAUACCGCAUACGAUCUACGGAUGAAAGCGGGGGAUCGCAAGACCUCGCGCGAAUGGAGCGGCCGAUAUCAGAUUAGGUAGUUGGUGGGGUAAAGGCUCACCAAGCCAACGAUCUGUAGCUGGUCUGAGAGGACGACCAGCCACACUGGAACUGAGACACGGUCCAGACUCCUACGGGAGGCAGCAGUGGGGAAUUUUGGACAAUGGGCGCAAGCCUGAUCCAGCCAUUCCGCGUGCAGGAUGAAGGCC
This 385-nucleotide ribosomal RNA is filed under the name uncultured bacterium. RNAcentral describes it as "bacterial SSU rRNA". It matches the Rfam family "Bacterial small subunit ribosomal RNA", at positions 30 to 416 of the family's 1533-position model. The record is from RNAcentral.